UCCCUGGUGGCUCAGUGAUAAAGAAUCUGCCUGCCAAGCAGGUGACUCGGGUUCAAUUCCUGAGUCGAGAA
RNAcentral lists this transfer RNA (71 nucleotides) under Capra hircus (goat). It matches the Rfam family "tRNA". From Rfam's summary of the family: Transfer RNA (tRNA) molecules are approximately 80 nucleotides in length. Their secondary structure includes four short double-helical elements and three loops (D, anti-codon, and T loops). The record is from Rfam by way of RNAcentral. RNAcentral also lists the same sequence under 1 other name. Lineage: Eukaryota; Metazoa; Chordata; Mammalia; Artiodactyla; Bovidae.